UAGGGAAUCUUCCGCAAUGGGCGAAAGCCUGACGGAGCAACGCCGCGUGAGUGAUGAAGGUCUUCGGAUGGUAAAACUCUGUUAUUAGGGAAGAACAAAUGUGUAAGUAACUAUGCACGUCUUGACGGUACCUAAUCAGAAAGCCACGGCUAACUACGUGCCAGCAGCCGCGGUAAUACGUAGGUGGCAAGCGUUAUCCGGAAUUAUUGGGCGUAAAGCGCGCGUAGGCGGUUUUUUAAGUCUGAUGUGAAAGCCCACGGCUCAACCGUGGAGGGUCAUUGGAAACUGGAAAACUUGAGUGCAGAAGAGGAAAGGGGAAUUCCAUGUGUAGCGGUGAAAUGCGCAGAGAUAUGGAGGAACACCAGUGGCGAAGGCGACUUUCUGGUCUGUAACUGACGCUGAUGUGCGAAAGCGUGGGGUUCAAACAGG
Molecule: ribosomal RNA, 429 nt
Filed under: Bacteroidota bacterium
Lineage: Bacteria; Pseudomonadati; Bacteroidota
Description: Bacteroidetes bacterium partial 16S ribosomal RNA
Rfam family: Bacterial small subunit ribosomal RNA
Source: RNAcentral